CAGGGAAUCUUGCACAAUGGGCGAAAGCCUGAUGCAGCGACGCCGCGUGGGGGAUGAAGGCCUUAGGGUCGUAAACCCCUUUCAGCAGGGACGAAAAUGACGGUACCUGCAGAAGAAGCCCCGGCCAACUACGUGCCAGCAGCCGCGGUAAGACGUAGGGGGCGAGCGUUGUCCGGAUUUAUUGGGCGUAAAGAGCUCGUAGGCGGUUGCGUAAGUCGGAUGUGAAAACUCAGGGCUCAACCCUGAGACGCCAUCCGAUACUGCGCUGACUUGAAUCCAGUAGGGGAGUGUGGAAUUCCUGGUGUAGCGGUGAAAUGCGCAGAUAUCAGGAGGAACACCGGUGGCGAAGGCGGGUCUCUGGGCAGUAACUGACGCUGAGGAACGAAAGCGUGGGUAGCGAACAGGAUUAGAUACCCGAGUAGUCCCUGAGCGGGCUGGCAAGGCGCAU
RNAcentral lists this ribosomal RNA (448 nucleotides) under uncultured bacterium. RNAcentral's name for it is "bacterial SSU rRNA". It matches the Rfam family "Bacterial small subunit ribosomal RNA", at positions 355 to 825 of the family's 1533-position model. The record is from RNAcentral.